UAUCUAGAGGUUUUUGUCAAAGGAUCAAUGUAAGUUUACAGAGAGUCAAUAAUUGAUCAUUGUCCUUUUAAGUAUAAAUAAAACUAUAUUUCCAAUUACAUGCAGUAAAUGCUGCCGGAGCUUUUUUACAUGGGCUAGAGGAUGAAUAUUAUAAGGUGAUGGUCCGUUGAUGGGCUAAAAGGCAUUAGAACUGGCCACCAGUUACAAGUUUACUCACUACCACAACACGAGCAAGGUGGCCACCAGUCCAUGAAUGCAAAUUUGCAGCACUUUGAAGUCCAAAAGCAGUGAGUAUACAUGGACUCGAAGAAGGCAGUCUAGAAACAACUGUUAGAUUUUGUGUACAUUUAUUCUCCUUUGCAACUUUUGUAGAUAGGUUUUGAUUAGAAGUUAUGUCUUUC
Molecule: long non-coding RNA, 401 nt
Filed under: Helianthus annuus (common sunflower)
Lineage: Eukaryota; Viridiplantae; Streptophyta; Magnoliopsida; Asterales; Asteraceae
Source: RNAcentral